UACCACGUGAUGUGACGUCAUUGUGACGUUGUGUUUCUAAAAAUAGCUCGCGCGCGGUACCGCAUUGUAUCUCAAGGAUAAAGAGUAUCUCAAGGAUAAAGAGUUCCCCUUUAUCCUUGAGAUGCAGGUGGAUGACUGAGUCCUGUCCAGAGGAGGUGGCACUCCAGCGUUGAGACAUGCGAGAGGUUGUUUGGUUUCUCCAAUAUAAAGAUCAAAACAUUCCUUACUGCACUGAACUGCAUACACCACUCCGCUCAUCUUAGGCUUGGGAGUUUUGUCCUUAGGAUGGACCCGCCUGUUUGAGGGUUAAGUUGGGUUUGAAAUGUGCUGGGAUCUUGUGUUUAGAGAAAAUCCUCCUGAGGUUUUCAGAGACUCCAGCAACCCAUAUGUUGCUGAAGACUCUGAAAAGCUCAGGAGGAAAUUAACCACAAGCUUCAGUAAAGCAUUCAACAGUUUAAUUUGGGAUUAUGAAAAAUAAAAUAAAACAUUUUGUCAGGCUCUGCGGGCUGCGUCAGGUCAGAGUGCAGCUAUUUUCCUCCCUCUCUUUUCGCAGGUGGUUGCUGAUGAUUCGGGAGGCGUGGAACAGCAGGUGUCCGACAUUAUUCGGCCCUCAGCGGGGGUAUAUAAGCGAAAGGCUGCCAGCACAACACCGAGUGAUAAGCCGAGUGGUACAGGCCGCUCGGAUCCCGUUCGCAGGGCUCCUUGGACUCUGUGAAUCCCAACGUCUGAUCCCAUCAAAUCCUCUUGUCUGAGCUCUUUUUUUUUGUACUUUAUUGUCCUAGGACUUUUUUUCUCAUAUUAGUAACUUUGUCUUUAAUACUCCCCCAAAACGAUUGUUCCUAAUCUGUGACUAUACCAGAAUUUAGAAGGUUCACAUGUGACAUGGUUUCAUGAAAUAAUAAGACCACAAUGUUUAGAUUUAACCAAUUGACCAAUUCUUCUGAGGAGUCCACCAAGGAACCUGCGCCCAUCCUCCCUCCCUUCUGCACAAUCGGCUCCCUCCACUGGGAGGGAGCCGAUUGUGUUGAUGCAUCUCCCAGGCUGCGCAGACUAAUCCUCUAAAGACCUCCCAACUAGAACUACCUCCCAAAAACUGGCCCCUCAUUUUACUGGUCCCUACAUCAUCGAUUCCACAAUCAGCACCACCUCCGUCUGCCCCUGCAUUCCUGUAUGCACCCGACCUUCCAUGUUUCCCAGCUCAAGGCAGUCCGCUCCAGUUCCUAGGCUUUGUUUAUUUUGCUUUUGCCCUUUUUGUUUUGCUUAAGUCUUGAUGCUGUCUGGAGCAUCAGGACUAGGUUUUGUGGCCUUAAGUCAUUGUGGGUUUUUCUUUUGUUAUUUGUGUUGUGUCCCUUGGGGGUGUAUUUAUUGUUUCAACCUCUUUUGUUCAUAACCCAAACUGGACAAUAAAUUAUUACUUUUUU
Molecule: long non-coding RNA, 1421 nt
Organism: Fundulus heteroclitus (mummichog)
Lineage: Eukaryota; Metazoa; Chordata; Actinopteri; Cyprinodontiformes; Fundulidae
Exons: 2
Source: RefSeq, a predicted model, not a curated record